Molecule: unclassified non-coding RNA, 210 nt
Filed under: soil metagenome
Description: partial contains 5.8S ribosomal RNA, internal transcribed spacer 2, and large subunit ribosomal RNA
Source: RNAcentral
AACCUUAUGGACCUGCGGGCGUAUACCUGCGGAGGGAUCAUUACCGAGUUUACAACUCCCAAACCCCUGUGAACAUACCUAUAUGUUGCCUCGGCGGAUCAGCCCGCGCCCCGUAAAACGGGACGGCCCGCCGCAGGAUCCACAAACUCUGUUUUUAUUGUAACUUCUGAGUAACAAAACAAAUAAAUCAAAACUUUCAACAAUGGAUCU